RNAcentral lists this ribosomal RNA (2780 nucleotides) under Escherichia coli. Its description in RNAcentral is "partial 23S ribosomal RNA". It matches the Rfam family "Bacterial large subunit ribosomal RNA". Lineage: Bacteria; Pseudomonadati; Pseudomonadota; Gammaproteobacteria; Enterobacterales; Enterobacteriaceae. The record is from RNAcentral.
GGGUUGUGAGGUUAAGCGACUAAGCGUACACGGUGGAUGCCCUGGCAGUCAGAGGCGAUGAAGGACGUGCUAAUCUGCGAUAAGCGUCGGUGAGGUGAUAUGAACCGUUAUAACCGGCGAUUUCCGAAUGGGGAAACCCAGUGUGUUUCGACACACUAUCAUUAACUGAAUCCAUAGGUUAAUGAGGCGAACCGGGGGAACUGAAACAUCUAAGUACCCCGAGGAAAAGAAAUCAACCGAGAUUCCCCCAGUAGCGGCGAGCGAACGGGGAGGAGCCCAGAGCCUGAAUCAGUGUGUGUGUUAGUGGAAGCGUCUGGAAAGGCGUGCGAUACAGGGUGACAGCCCCGUACACAAAAAUGCACAUAUUGUGAGCUCGAUGAGUAGGGCGGGACACGUGGUAUCCUGUCUGAAUAUGGGGGGACCAUCCUCCAAGGCUAAAUACUCCUGACUGACCGAUAGUGAACCAGUACCGUGAGGGAAAGGCGAAAAGAACCCCGGCGAGGGGAGUGAAAAAGAACCUGAAACCGUGUACGUACAAGCAGUGGGAGCCUCUUUAUGGGGUGACUGCGUACCUUUUGUAUAAUGGGUCAGCGACUUAUAUUCUGUAGCAAGGUUAACCGAAUAGGGGAGCCGAAGGGAAACCGAGUCUUAACUGGGCGUUAAGUUGCAGGGUAUAGACCCGAAACCCGGUGAUCUAGCCAUGGGCAGGUUGAAGGUUGGGUAACACUAACUGGAGGACCGAACCGACUAAUGUUGAAAAAUUAGCGGAUGACUUGUGGCUGGGGGUGAAAGGCCAAUCAAACCGGGAGAUAGCUGGUUCUCCCCGAAAGCUAUUUAGGUAGCGCCUCGUGAAUUCAUCUCCGGGGGUAGAGCACUGUUUCGGCAAGGGGGUCAUCCCGACUUACCAACCCGAUGCAAACUGCGAAUACCGGAGAAUGUUAUCACGGGAGACACACGGCGGGUGCUAACGUCCGUCGUGAAGAGGGAAACAACCCAGACCGCCAGCUAAGGUCCCAAAGUCAUGGUUAAGUGGGAAACGAUGUGGGAAGGCCCAGACAGCCAGGAUGUUGGCUUAGAAGCAGCCAUCAUUUAAAGAAAGCGUAAUAGCUCACUGGUCGAGUCGGCCUGCGCGGAAGAUGUAACGGGGCUAAACCAUGCACCGAAGCUGCGGCAGCGACACUAUGUGUUGUUGGGUAGGGGAGCGUUCUGUAAGCCUGUGAAGGUGGCCUGUGAGGGUUGCUGGAGGUAUCAGAAGUGCGAAUGCUGACAUAAGUAACGAUAAAGCGGGUGAAAAGCCCGCUCGCCGGAAGACCAAGGGUUCCUGUCCAACGUUAAUCGGGGCAGGGUGAGUCGACCCCUAAGGCGAGGCCGAAAGGCGUAGUCGAUGGGAAACAGGUUAAUAUUCCUGUACUUGGUGUUACUGCGAAGGGGGGACGGAGAAGGCUAUGUUGGCCGGGCGACGGUUGUCCCGGUUUAAGCGUGUAGGCUGGUUUUCCAGGCAAAUCCGGAAAACCAAGGCUGAGGCGUGAUGACGAGGCACUACGGUGCUGAAGCGACAAAUGCCCUGCUUCCAGGAAAAGCCUCUAAGCAUCAGGUAACAUCAAAUCGUACCCCAAACCGACACAGGUGGUCAGGUAGAGAAUACCAAGGCGCUUGAGAGAACUCGGGUGAAGGAACUAGGCAAAAUGGUGCCGUAACUUCGGGAGAAGGCACGCUGAUAUGUAGGUGAAGCGACUUGCUCGUGGAGCUGAAAUCAGUCGAAGAUACCAGCUGGCUGCAACUGUUUAUUAAAAACACAGCACUGUGCAAACACGAAAGUGGACGUAUACGGUGUGACGCCUGCCCGGUGCCGGAAGGUUAAUUGAUGGGGUUAGCGGUAACGCGAAGCUCUUGAUCGAAGCCCCGGUAAACGGCGGCCGUAACUAUAACGGUCCUAAGGUAGCGAAAUUCCUUGUCGGGUAAGUUCCGACCUGCACGAAUGGCGUAAUGAUGGCCAGGCUGUCUCCACCCGAGACUCAGUGAAAUUGAACUCGCUGUGAAGAUGCAGUGUACCCGCGGCAAGACGGAAAGACCCCGUGAACCUUUACUAUAGCUUGACACUGAACAUUGAGCCUUGAUGUGUAGGAUAGGUGGGAGGCUUUGAAGUGUGGACGCCAGUCUGCAUGGAGCCGACCUUGAAAUACCACCCUUUAAUGUUUGAUGUUCUAACGUUGGCCCGUAAUCCGGGUUGCGGACAGUGUCUGGUGGGUAGUUUGACUGGGGCGGUCUCCUCCUAAAGAGUAACGGAGGAGCACGAAGGUUGGCUAAUCCUGGUCGGACAUCAGGAGGUUAGUGCAAUGGCAUAAGCCAGCUUGACUGCGAGCGUGACGGCGCGAGCAGGUGCGAAAGCAGGUCAUAGUGAUCCGGUGGUUCUGAAUGGAAGGGCCAUCGCUCAACGGAUAAAAGGUACUCCGGGGAUAACAGGCUGAUACCGCCCAAGAGUUCAUAUCGACGGCGGUGUUUGGCACCUCGAUGUCGGCUCAUCACAUCCUGGGGCUGAAGUAGGUCCCAAGGGUAUGGCUGUUCGCCAUUUAAAGUGGUACGCGAGCUGGGUUUAGAACGUCGUGAGACAGUUCGGUCCCUAUCUGCCGUGGGCGCUGGAGAACUGAGGGGGGCUGCUCCUAGUACGAGAGGACCGGAGUGGACGCAUCACUGGUGUUCGGGUUGUCAUGCCAAUGGCACUGCCCGGUAGCUAAAUGCGGAAGAGAUAAGUGCUGAAAGCAUCUAAGCACGAAACUUGC